GAUGAAGAACGUAGCGAAAUGCGAUAAGUAAUGUGAAUUGCAGAAUUCAGUGAAUCAUCGAAUCUUUGAACGCACAUUGCGCCCGCCAGUAUUCUGGCGGGCAUGCCUGUCUGAGCGUCAUUUCAACCCUCAUGCCCCUAGGGCGUGGUGUUGGGGAUCGGCCAAAGCCCGCGAGGGACGGCCGGCCCCUAAAUCUAGUGGCGGACCCGUCGUGGCCUCCUCUGCGAAGUAGUGAUAUUCCGCAUCGGUGAGCGAUGAGCCCCUGCCGUUAAACCCCCAACUUUCCAAGGUUGACCUCAGAUCAGGUAGGAAUACCCGCUGAACUUAAGCAUAUCAAUAAGCGGAGGA
This 348-nucleotide unclassified non-coding RNA is filed under the name soil metagenome. RNAcentral describes it as "partial contains 5.8S ribosomal RNA, internal transcribed spacer 2, and large subunit ribosomal RNA". The stretch from base 1 to 120 matches the Rfam family "5.8S ribosomal RNA", at positions 35 to 154 of the family's 154-position model. The record is from RNAcentral.